RNAcentral lists this ribosomal RNA (1332 nucleotides) under metagenome. RNAcentral's name for it is "bacterial LSU rRNA". It matches the Rfam family "Bacterial large subunit ribosomal RNA", at positions 1122 to 2454 of the family's 2925-position model. The record is from RNAcentral.
UUUAAAGAAAGCGUAAUAGCUCACUGAUCGAGUCGUCCUGCGCGGAAGAUGUAACGGGGCUAAGCCAGUUACCGAAGCUGCGGAUGUGCAAUUUAUUGCACGUGGUAGGAGAGCGUUCUGUAGGCCUGUGUAGGUGUCUGGUAACGGAUGCUGGAGGUAUCAGAAGUGCGAAUGCUGACAAGAGUAGCGUUAAAGGGGGUGAAAAGCCCCCUCGCCGUAAGCGCAAGGUUUUCUACGCAACGUCCAUCGGCGUAGAGUGAGUCGGCCCCUAAGGCGAGGCAGAGAUGCGUAGCUGAUGGGAAACAGGUCAAUAUUCCUGUACCGAUGUGUAGUGCGAUGUGGGGACGGAGAAGGUUAGCUCAGCCAACUGUUGGAUAUGUUGGUUCAAGCCUGUAGUCGUGCCCGGUAGGCAAAUCCGCCGGGCUUAGAUGAGGGGUGAUAACGAGGCUGCUUGCAGCCGAAGUGAGUGAUACCCUGCUUCCAGGAAAAGCCACUAAGCUUCAGCUACACACGACCGUACCGCAAACCGACACUGGUGCGCGAGAUGAGUAUUCUAAGGCGCUUGAGAGAACUCAGGAGAAGGAACUCGGCAAAUUGAUACCGUAACUUCGGGAGAAGGUAUGCCCCAAGUAGGUGAACCUGUACAAGGCGAGCCCAAAGGGGUUGCAAAAAAUCGGUGGCUGCGACUGUUUAAUAAAAACACAGCACUCUGCAAACACGAAAGUGGACGUAUAGGGUGUGACGCCUGCCCGGUGCUGGAAGAUUAAAUGAUGGGGUGCAAGCUCUUGACUGAAGUCCCAGUAAACGGCGGCCGUAACAAUAACGGUCCUAAGGUAGCGAAAUUCCUUGUCGGGUAGGUUCCGACCUGCACGAAUGGCGUAACGAUGGCCACACUGUCUCCUCCUGAGACUCAGCGAAGUUGAAAUGUUUGUGAUGAUGCAAUCUCCCCGCGGAAAGACGGAAAGACCCCAUGAACCUUUACUGUAGCUUUGUAUUGGACUUUGAACAGAUCUGUGUAGGAUAGGUGGGAGGCUUUGAAGUGAGGUCGCUAGAUCUCAUGGAGCCAACGUUGAAAUACCACCCUGGUGUGUUUGAGGUUCUAACCUAGGUCCAUUAUCUGGAUCGGGGACAGUGCAUGGUAGGCAGUUUGACUGGGGCGGUCUCCUCCCAAAGCGUAACGGAGGAGUUCGAAGGUACGCUAGUUACGGUCGGACAUCGUGACGAUAGUGCAAUGGCAUAAGCGUGCUUAACUGCGAGACUGACAAGUCGAGCAGAUGCGAAAGCAGGACAUAGUGAUCCGGUGGUUCUGUAUGGAAGGGCCAUCGCUCAACG